UACAGAGGGUGCGAGCGUUAAUCGGAAUUACUGGGCGUAAAGCGUGCGCAGGCGGUUGUGCAAGACCGAUGUGAAAUCCCCGGGCUUAACCUGGGAAUGGCAUUGGUGACUGCACGGCUAGAGUGUGUCAGAGGGGGGUAGAAUUCCACGUGUAGCAGUGAAAUGCGUAGAGAUGUGGAGGAAUACCGAUGGCGAAGGCAGCCCCCUGGGAUAACACUGACGCUCAUGCACGAAAGCGUGGGGAGCAAACAGG
RNAcentral lists this ribosomal RNA (253 nucleotides) under uncultured bacterium. Its description in RNAcentral is "partial 16S ribosomal RNA". It matches the Rfam family "Bacterial small subunit ribosomal RNA", at positions 524 to 776 of the family's 1533-position model. The record is from RNAcentral.